UAGUACAGUGAUGGAAAGGUGAAAAGAACCCCGGGAGGGGAGUGAAAUAGAUCCUGAAAUUUAGUGCCUACAAGGAGUCGGAGCCGGCUUGUCCGGUGACGGCGUGCUUUUUGUAGAACGAUCCAGCGAGUUAAUUUUUACAGCGAGGUUAAGUCAAUUGACGGAGCCACAGUGAAAGCGAGCCUGAAUAGGGCGAAUAAGUUGUAAGGAUUAGACCCGAAACCGGGUGACCUAACCAUGAGCAGGUUGAAGCCACUGUAACAGGUGGUGGAGGACCGAACCAGGAUACGCAGCAAAGUGUUUGGAUGACUUGUGGUUAGCGGUGAAAUGCCAAUCGAACUCGGAGAUAGCUGGUUCUCCUCGAAAUAGCUUUAGGGCUAGCGUCGUGUUAGUAGCACAUGGGGGUAGAGCUCUGUAAAGGACUGGGGCGGGCAACUGUACCCACCCUUAACAAACUACGAAUACCAUGUGUGUAAUCACGGCAGUUAGAACAUCGGUGCUAAGAUCGGUGCUCGAAAGGGAAACAGCCCAGACCAUCAUCUAAGGUCCCUAAAUUAACGUUCAGUGGGAAACAAGGUGAGAUUUCUUAAACAGCUAGGAUGUUGGCUUAGAAGCAGCCAUUCAUUUAAAGAGUGCGUAACAGCUCACUAGUCAAGAGAUCUUGCGUGGAAAAUGUAACGGGGCUAAAACGUUAUACCGAAGAUAUGGAUUACACGCUAAGUACAAAGUUAAAGUUGUGUUACAAUCAAUUUAUGGAAAAUGAGAUUUACGUAGGUAGCGUCUAUAAACACUAUAAAGGCAAUAAGUAUGUUGUUGUAAGUAUAGCUGUUCAUACUGAGACGCUUGAAGAGCUUGUAGUUUAUCGAGCCAUUUAUGGCGACGGAGAAUUAUGGGCUAGACCUAAGAAAAUGUUUUUAGAUAAUAUUGAAAAGAACGGAAAGAUCAUCCCAAGGUUUAAAUUGAUUAAAAAACUUUGAUUUUGUUCUUAGUGUGUAGUGGUAGAGGAGCGUUCCUAUCAGCGGAGAAGUCGAAUCGGAAGGUUCGGUGGAGCGGUAGGAAGUGAGAAUGCUGGAAUGAGUAACCAUAAGAGAGGUGAGAAUCCUCUCGGCCGUAAGAGCAAGGUUUCCUGAGCCAUGGUAAUCAUCUCAGGGUUAGUCGGGCCUAAGCCGAGGCGCAGAGCGUAGGCGAUGGACAUCAGGUUAAUAUUCCUGAACCGGUUAAGUUUUGUACACUGUUCACGGGGAAGUAAUCGAAGCGGAUUCAUGGUUUAUCCGUCCAACCGAGCGGGAACGCAAAGGGAGUGAAAGUGAUUCUUCGGAGUCGCGAUUUUGGUGAAAGCCCUGGCUAGAAAAGCAGGUGUACGCGUGGACUUAGCCGCCCGUACCGCAAACCAACACAGGUGCUCGAGUCGAGUAGACUCAGGCUUACGAGCGAACCUUCGCUAAGGAACUCGGCAAUACAGCGACCGUAACUUCGGGAUAAGGUCUGCCCCCACUUCGGUGGAUAUCAGCCGCGUUCACUCAGUGAAUAUUAGGUUAAAGAGUACAUUUUUAAUCACAAAACGAAUUUUCUGAGAUAGAGCAAACGAAUUGUUCUUUUGAACGCGAACCUCUGGCAUCUAACGAUGUGGGGGCCGCAGCAAAAGAGCCCACGGAACUGUUUAUCAAAAACACAGGUCUCUGCUAACACGAAAGUGGAUGUAUAGGGGCUGACUCCUGCCCAAUGCUGGAAGGUUAAGGGGAGCGCUUCACGGUGCGAACUGAAGCCCUAGUCAAUGGCGGCGGUAACUAUAACCGUCCUAAGGUAGCGAAAUUCCUUGUCAGGUAAGUUCUGACCCGCACGAAUGGAGUAAUCAUGUGGGCACUGUCUCAGCGAAGGACUCGGUGAAAGUGCAUUGGCGGUAAAGAUGCCGUCUGUCCGUACCAGGACGAAAAGACCCCAUGGAGCUUUACUACAGCUUUACAUUGAAUAUGGUUUCAACAUGUGUAGCAUAGGUGGGAGACUUUGAAGCAGAUACGCCAGUAUUUGUGGAGUCGCCAGGUGAAAUACCACCCUUGUUGUGAUUGUGUUCUCACGCUGACCGUUAUCCGGUUAGCGGACCGUGUAUGGUGGGUAGUUUAACUGGGGCGGUUGCCUCCUAAAGAGUAGCGGAGGCGUUCAAAGGUUGGCUAACUUCGGAUGGAAAUCGAAGUGAUAGUGUAUGCGCAUAAGCCAGCUUGACUGUGAGGAGUACAUUCCAAUCAGAGACGAAAGUCGGAGCAAGUGAUCCGCUGUACGUACAUUUGUACAUGAAUGUGGGAUCGACAGCGCAAACGGAUAAAAGUUACCCUGGGGAUAACAGGCUUAUAGCGCCCAAUAGUUCACAUAGACGGCGCUGUUUGGCACCUCGAUGUCGGCUCAUCACAUCCUGGAGGGGGAGCACCUUCCAAGGGUUCGGCUGUUCGCCGAUUAAAGUGGUACGCGAGCUGGGUUCAGAACGUCGUGAGACAGUUCGGUUUAUAUCCG
Molecule: ribosomal RNA, 2505 nt
Filed under: human metagenome
Description: bacterial LSU rRNA
Rfam family: Bacterial large subunit ribosomal RNA
Source: RNAcentral